CCAUGAUCCUGUGCAGCAGGCCAUCCCAUCAGGUUGACAUCCAUCCUUGCAUCUCUUUCCGGUGACGUACCGACUCUCUCCGCCUUCAGCGAGUCCCAGAUGUUGCAGUUGAAGUCGUCGUACCCAGCGAGGAUGAGUCUUCCAGAGAGGGAGGGAGCGAGGGAGGUCACGCCGCACAUGAUGCCGGAGUCCUGGUCUGUCUGCACUGGCCGUCACGGAUGUCCCACAGUUUGGCUGUGAAGUCACAGGCUCCUGAGAUGAAAGUGUUGAAGUCAGGGGCCACACCCAGAGACAUACAGUCACCCAGAUGACCUGAACACCGUCUUCUGCGUUCCUGUCUCAAUGUCCCACAGAACACUGAAAACAGGUUAUAGAUGGAGCACAUGUUGUCAAGUCCUCCACACGCCACCAUGUUUCCUGAAGGUGCGUACGCACAUGUCAUCACCCACGAGGACUUCAGUGGGAUUGCGUGCACCUAAACCACAAUCAGAGAGGAUGGAUGUUUACUUCGAGUCCCCCCAGUGCACGGCAUAGAUUUUGGACAGAUGUCCUCUCAAUGUCUUCCUGGUCUUUAGCUGGACACGGCCCACAACAGCUGUCCCCGCCACAUGAUCCUGCAGCGUGAGGCUCUCCGCCUCCUUUCGCAGUUGCUCCAUUUCACCCAUGGCAACGGUAGUCAGGCACGGUCACCCACAGAUACAGACAGGAAGUGAGUGCUAAUGUACCGCAGGACGUCAACACCUCCCCUCCUCCCUCUCUCCGCUCACUUGUUUUAAUGUACUGUUGUCUAGAUGUAUUAAACACUUGUACCUUCUGUCUUUUUUGUCUCAGUUUUGAUUCUGAGAAACAAUAAUAAACUAAUAAUAAAUUAAAGGUGUGCACUGUUGUGUUGAUCGCUUUG
This is a long non-coding RNA of Onychostoma macrolepis, 901 nucleotides long. RefSeq lists it as uncharacterized. The record is from RefSeq and is a predicted model, not a curated record. The transcript has 7 exons. NCBI's taxonomy places the organism in Eukaryota, Metazoa, Chordata, Actinopteri, Cypriniformes, Cyprinidae.